Molecule: long non-coding RNA, 2671 nt
Filed under: Homo sapiens (human)
Lineage: Eukaryota; Metazoa; Chordata; Mammalia; Primates; Hominidae
Description: HSALNT0150223
Source: RNAcentral
ACCAGGGAAGCAGCUAUGGCAAAGAACAGCAGUUCAGUGGUGGAGAAGAGGAGGCUGCAGAAAAUCAGGACCUGGGAGAGAAAAAAGCUACCAGCAACAUUCAGACUGAGAGAGGCCAAAAUACUAAUUCAUAAUUAGCCUGGUACAUAUGAAGGAUCAAAAAGAACAGGACUGUAUGUCUGACCUCUGACAGGCCCUACCACCAUAGUAGAGACUCAGUAUGUAUACUUAAUGAAGGAAUAAUGAAUACAUCAGCAAGAGAAAUAAGAGUGACCAUAUGUUCCUUAAGAGAAGCAAAGAGCAGCUCCUGUUCCUGCUGGAAUGAGUCUCCAUUCCUUGCAACAGAAGUGUCCUAAGUUAUAGCCAGAGGACGGGGGCACAUUGACAAAACAUAAAGCGGAUAUGAUAAUAACAAGGUACCAUUCCAGCAAGAACAUCUGAAGAAAGAAGCAGUGUUGUUUAUCUUUCCUUCAUCUAUUCUGAAACUAAAAUCCUUAACCAAAUUUAUUUCCGAAGUUUAACCCUUUAAUAAACUGGCCUCUGACUCCACCUGGUGGAGAUACAUAAAUCUAUGAAAAUAAACCAAUCCAAAUGAAGAUUUUAAAGUCAUCAGCUCUCUUUCAUGUCUCAAAGAAAAAACACAUAUCCCGAAAUUCAAAUAGAUGACCUUCUCGGAUGUGUUAUAGGCACUCAGAAGCCCCAAAGAAAAAAUAGUUUGAGUUGAUCAUUUGACUGUUGCUCUCAGCCUUCAUUUCUGCCUUUCUAGGUUGUGUCAGGCAUUUUGACUGUCCAGGGGCCCUGCAUAUUCUAUUUUCCUAGUUACUUGCUAAGGUUUGAAUAUUUGUCCCCCUCCAAAACUCAUGUUGAAAUUUAAUCCCAAAUGUGGCAGUAUUGAGAGGUGGGGCUUUUCAGAGGUGAUUGGGUCAUGAGAGCUCUGUUCUCAUGAGUGGAUUAAUCCAUUCAUGGAUUAAUGGAAUAAUGGACUAAUGGAUUAAUGAGUUAUCAUAGGAGUGGGACUGGUGCCUUUAUAAUAAGAGGAAGAGAGACCUGAGCUAGCACACUCACCCUCUUCACCAUGUGAGGUCCUGUGCCACCAUGGGACUCUGCAGAGUCUCAUCAGCAAGAAGCCACUUACCAGAUGUGGCCCCUUGACCUUGGGCUUCUCAGCUUCCAUAACUGUAAGAAAUAAAUUUCUUUGUAACUUGCCCAGUUUCAAGUAUUCUGUUAUAAGGAACUGAAAAUGGACUAAGAUACUUUCCUAUUGGCUUCUGGUUAGUUUCUAUCAAUAAGAAUUACUGGUAGAAGUUUGAAAGGUAGGAGUGGAGAGAUGGGACCUUUUUUAUUUUAGUUUCUAUUGGCAUUUUCCAGCAGCAAGGAACAAUGGGCAUUUCAUCAUCAUCUUUUAGCAUUUCCAGCACCCACAGCAAGGAGUCCUUUCACCUGCUUAGUAGCAGCCCUUCAGUAAUCCUAGCAUCUAUUUUAGGUGGUGUUUCAUUUGUGGUCUCAGGACUGGCCCAGGUAGUUCUCUUCUCCAUGAUUCUGGACUCUGGUGAUUCCAUCACCUCCACGUACGCCUUCAGCCAGAAGGACUGUCGCUGUUCCCAGCAGCCAUUUAGCAUAGUUACCUAAGUGUAACCAAAUUCCUGUAUUAUAUUCACUUGUUUGAAAAACCUUGAGUGAUUUCUGACCCACUUCUGUCUCAAGGCCUGAAUAUUCUGAUUCAGAUGAAUUUCAGAAAAUGGAAAAAAAAACUUAGUGAAUAAAAAAGAUUAAAUAGUUUUUAGAAAACCAUAGGAGACAAAAAAGCAACUGGAAGUCACACACACACACACACACACACACACAUUCUUUUAACUUUAUAAGUUAUAAUAAAUUAUGGUAAAAGAGUGACAAGUUUACCUACAUGAAUAUUGAAGCCUUUGUAAAAUCUUUAAAGAAAAAAGGGUACCAAUACAACAGAAAAUUUCAGACUGGAAAAAUAUUGGUAGUCAUCGUCUUAGUUUGAGCAUUUAUCAAUUGCAUUAUAGCAAAACCCUCCAAACUGCUCUCUCUGCUUUGAUUGUCUCUUUUUUUUCCAAAUCUUUUCUGCAUAUUGUCAAAGUUACAUUUCUAAGGAGCAAAUUAAAUGCUGUCACUAUGCUCUUUGAAUUAUCAGUCAACAAAGAGAUUUUUUAAACUAAUUAAUUUAUAAUUAUCCACAGAAAUACAUAUUAAAAGGACAGUGAGGUGUCUGCUAACUCUUUACUCUCUUGGAUGCAGCUUAAUUUCUUCUUCCAGGGACACUUUUCUGACAAUUUUGUUCUUAUACAAUUAUAGCAUUUUUUUUUCUUUUUUUGAGACAGGGUUUCACUCUGUCACACAGGCUGGAGUGCAGUGGCAUGAUCUUGGCUCACUGCAACCUCCGCUUCCUGGGUUCAAGCAAUUCUCAUGCCUCAGCCUCCAAAGUAGCUGGGAUUACAGGCAUGCACCUUCACAUUCAGCUCAUUUUUUUUUUUCUGUAUUUUUAGUAGAGACAGGGUUUCACCAUGUUGGCCAGGCUGGUAUUGAACUUCUGACCUCAAAUGAUCCGCCCACCUCGGCCUCCCAAAGUGCUGGUAUUACAGGCGUGAGCCACUGCGCCUGGCCAGUUAUAGCAAUUUUAAAAACAAUAUUCUAAUCAUGUCCUUUGCAG